AUGGAAGCGCGGUAACGUGUGGAGUCGACCGGUACUAAUAGGCCGAGUGGCUUGAACAC
This 59-nucleotide ribosomal RNA is filed under the name Actinomadura harenae. RNAcentral's name for it is "Actinomadura sp. NEAU-Ht49 partial 23S ribosomal RNA". Lineage: Bacteria; Bacillati; Actinomycetota; Actinomycetes; Streptosporangiales; Thermomonosporaceae. The record is from RNAcentral.